This 253-nucleotide ribosomal RNA is filed under the name uncultured bacterium. Its description in RNAcentral is "partial 16S ribosomal RNA". It matches the Rfam family "Bacterial small subunit ribosomal RNA", at positions 524 to 776 of the family's 1533-position model. The record is from RNAcentral.
UACAGAGGUCUCAAGCGUUGUUCGGAUUCAUUGGGCGUAAAGGGUGCGUAGGCGGCGGGGUAAGUCAGGUGUGAAAUCUCGAGGCUCAACCUCGAAACUGCACUUGAUACUGCCUUGCUCGAGUACUGGAGAGGAGAUUGGAAUUUACGGUGUAGCAGUGAAAUGCGUAGAUAUCGUAAGGAACACCAGUGGCGAAGGCGAAUCUCUGGACAGUUACUGACACUGAGGCACGAAAGCCAGGGUAGCAAACAGG